GACUCUAUAGGAUAACGGCUAUUCCGUCUGACUGUCUAUCAGAAGAUUCCGGGUUCGAACCCCGGUAGAGUCG
Molecule: transfer RNA, 73 nt
Filed under: Eubacterium ventriosum
Lineage: Bacteria; Bacillati; Bacillota; Clostridia; Eubacteriales; Eubacteriaceae
Also listed under: 3 other names
Description: tRNA-Asp
Rfam family: tRNA
About the family: Transfer RNA (tRNA) molecules are approximately 80 nucleotides in length. Their secondary structure includes four short double-helical elements and three loops (D, anti-codon, and T loops).
Source: RNAcentral